AGUGAACGCUGGCGGUAGGCCUAACACAUGCAAGUCGAACGGCAGCACAGUAAGAGCUUGCUCUUACGGGUGGCGAGUGGCGGACGGGUGAGGAAUACAUCGGAAUCUACUUUUUCGUGGGGGAUAACGUAGGGAAACUUACGCUAAUACCGCAUACGACCUACGGGUGAAAGCAGGAGAUCUUCGGACCUUGCGCGAUUGAAUGAGCCGAUGUCGGAUUAGCUAGUUGGCGGGGUAAAGGCCCACCAAGGCGACGAUCCGUAGCUGGUCUGAGAGGAUGAUCAGCCACACUGGAACUGAGACACGGUCCAGACUCCUACGGGAGGCAGCAGUGGGGAAUCUUGGACAAUGGGCGCAAGCCUGAUCCAGCCAUACCGCGUGGGUGAAGAAGGCCUUCGGGUUGUAAAGCCCUUUUGUUGGGAAAGAAAAGCAGCAGGUUAAUACCCCGCUGUUCUGACGGUACCCAAAGAAUAAGCACCGGCUAACUUCGUG
RNAcentral lists this ribosomal RNA (492 nucleotides) under uncultured bacterium. RNAcentral's name for it is "partial 16S ribosomal RNA". It matches the Rfam family "Bacterial small subunit ribosomal RNA", at positions 29 to 507 of the family's 1533-position model. The record is from RNAcentral.